Molecule: ribosomal RNA, 250 nt
Filed under: uncultured bacterium
Lineage: Bacteria
Description: partial 16S ribosomal RNA
Rfam family: Bacterial small subunit ribosomal RNA
Source: RNAcentral
UACGGAGGAUGCGAGCGUUAUCCGGAUUUAUUGGGUUUAAAGGGUGCGUAGGCGGCUUGUUAAGUCAGCGGUAAAAUUUCCGGGCUCAACCCGGUCGUGCCGUUGAAACUGGCAGGCUUGAGUAUGGAUGAAGUGGGCGGAAUUUGUAGUGUAGCGGUGAAAUGCUUAGAUAUUACAAGGAACUCCGAUUGCGCAGGCAGCUCACUAAACCAUAACUGACGCUGAAGCACGAAAGCGUGGGUAUCAAACA